GGACAGAAAGACCCUAUGAAGCUUGACUGUAGCUUGAAAUUGGGUUCGGGCUCUUCUUGCGCAGCCUAGGUGGGAGGCUAUGAAGAUAAACUUUUGGGUUUAUUGGAGCCAUCAGUGAGAGACCACUCUGGAGGAGCUAGAAUUCUAAUGGCGUUCCUUGAAGCAGGACGCUUGACAGUUUCAGGUGGGCAGUUUGACUGGGGCGGUCACCUCCUAAAAGGUAACGGAGGUGUGCAAAGGUUCCCUCAGGCUGGACAGAAAUCAGCCGUAGAGUGUAAAGGCAGAAGGGAGCCUGACUGCAAGACCUACAAGUCGAGCAGGGGCGAAAGCCGGCCUUAGUGAUCCGACGGUUCCGUGUGGAAGGGCCGUCGCUAAACGGAUAAAAGUUACUCUAGGGAUAACAGGCUGA
Molecule: ribosomal RNA, 409 nt
Filed under: uncultured organism
Description: bacterial LSU rRNA
Rfam family: Bacterial large subunit ribosomal RNA
Source: RNAcentral